UACAGAGGGGGCAAGCGUUAUUCGGAAUUAUUGGGCGUAAAGGGCGCGUAGGCGGCUUGGCAAGUGGAUGGUGAAAUCCCUCGGCUUAACCGAGGAACUGCCGUCCAAACUGCUUCGUUUGAGACCGGGAGAGGUGAGUGGAAUUCCCAGUGUAGCGGUGAAAUGCGUAGAUAUUGGGAGGAACACCAGUGGCGAAGGCGGCUCACUGGACCGGUACUGACGCUGAUGCGCGAAAGCGUGGGGAGCAAACGGG
Molecule: ribosomal RNA, 253 nt
Filed under: uncultured bacterium
Lineage: Bacteria
Description: partial 16S ribosomal RNA
Rfam family: Bacterial small subunit ribosomal RNA
Source: RNAcentral